UACGGAGGAUCCGAGCGUUAUCCGGAUUUAUUGGGUUUAAAGCGUGCGCAGGCGGGGGAUUAAGUCGGCGGUGAAAUUUUGCAGCUCAACUGUAAAAGUGCCUUCGAAACUGGUUUCCUUGAGUGUAGAUGAAGUAGGCGGAAUUUGUGGUGUAGCGGUGAAAUGCAUAGAUAUCACGAGGAACUCCGAUUGCGCAGGCAACUUACUAAACUACUACUGACGCUCAGGCACGAAGGCGUGGGGAUCAAACAGGAUUAGAUACCCUGGUAGU
This 271-nucleotide ribosomal RNA is filed under the name uncultured prokaryote. RNAcentral's name for it is "partial 16S ribosomal RNA". It matches the Rfam family "Bacterial small subunit ribosomal RNA", at positions 524 to 794 of the family's 1533-position model. The record is from RNAcentral.